Leptidea sinapis is the source of this 662-nucleotide long non-coding RNA. RefSeq lists it as uncharacterized. Lineage: Eukaryota; Metazoa; Arthropoda; Insecta; Lepidoptera; Pieridae. The record is from RefSeq and is a predicted model, not a curated record. The transcript has 2 exons.
AUUAUUAAAUGCGCCUACAACAUCCAAAAAAACACCAGCCAAUAUCUUAUUGUCAAUCUGGGCACUAUGGAUGUCAAGACAUAAAUGCCGUAUACUCUCACAAGCAGAACAACCACAUCGAAAUCCAAAUUGAUUAUUAGAUUACUGUGUGGAGGAAUGUUGGAUGGAAUUGAAGAAGAUUCAGUUUCCGACACUACCAUGGAAAAUUUUGUGAUUGUAGGCAAGUGAUAGCUGCCCAAAGAGUCCUGAUGAACUUGCCAUUCACAGCACAGGAAUAAUGAAGAUGAUACUAUUGUUAGAUCUAGUCCAUUUGGUCUCCCAAGAAUUAGUACCCACUGUAGUUGGUUGAUCAUUAUUUAAGAGCAUUAAGUCAUUAUCGUCCAUUACAUCCAUGAUGUCUCUUCCUCUAGAAUUGGUUCUAUUACAACCCCAAAUGGUAUGGUGAGCAUUAAAAUCACCAGCAAUUAUUAGUGGUUUUGGAAUACUAUGCAACAGUCUAUUAAAUUUAGAUUUGUCAAAGUUAGGUACACUGUUCCCAGGACUAUAAAAGCUAACAAUUGAGAUGUCUUUUUGUUUGUAUUUAAUUUUGAUUGCUACAUUUUGCAAGGAGUUAUCAGAAAAUGUUUUUAACUUUUGAAAAUAAAUGCCAUUUCUAACAAAAA